AGGAAUAUAGUUGCUGGGAUCUUACCACUUCAUCUCACUCCUAUACUGUUUUGAUUGUUGUCAGUUACGGGUUUUCUCUCAUUUCAUUCCGUUUUCAGGGGAUUUUAGCAGAGUCCAUGUUACAAUCCUAUCUUUAAUGUUUUUGGUCAUGCGCUAUAAUCCAUUGUAUUUUGAAGUGUUGAGGCUUUGUUUGGUUGCAAAUGAUUUAGGCGUUUUUGGGGGAUUGAUUUGGGAGAUGAGCAAAGAACACCCACCGGAGACUCUUGAUUUCUUCAUUUGGACUGUUGAGGAUGUUGGUUUGUGGUUGGAAGAGAUAAAUCUCGGUAGUUACCGCCAGAUUUUUAAAGAAAAUGGUGUCAAUGGAGAAUACCUGGAAAGUAUGUCCAUGUUUACCACUGAGCAGAUCCUUCGAUUUAUAAGACGAUGCCACAUGAAAUGGGGUGACUUCAUCACCUUGUGCAAGGAGCUCAGGCGGAUUAAAGUGGCUUGCUUGAAAGGGGAUCAAAAGGUCCGCCGGCCAUGGUGGGCUCCUUCUUGGCUCUCAAUACUCUUUAUCAAGGUGGUGAGACAGAACAGACAGUCACGAGUUGUUUCCUUGAAGCUGGAACAGUGAUGCAAGAUCUGCUUUAUAUGCCAUCCUCUCUCACUUUGUGGCAAAUAUUACAACACUACCACCUCCAAGAGGCUAAUUAGAUCAUAAAUAAUGGCAACCUCCGCCAUCCAACAGUCAGCAUUCGCCGGCCAGACUGCUUUGAAGCUAUCUAAUGAACUCGUCCGCAAGACUGGAGCCCGAGGCUCUGGUGGUGGUCGUGCUACCAUGAGGCGCACCGUGAAAAGUGCCCCAUAGAGCAUAUGGUAUGGCUCGGACCGUCCCAAGUAUUUGGGGCCAUUCUCGGAACAAAACUCCAUCAUAUCUAACUGGUGAAUUCCCUAGUGAUUACGGUUGGGAUACUACUGGCUUAUCAGCUGACCCUUAGACAUUCGCCAAGAACCGCGAGUUGGAGGUGAUUCACAGCAGGUGGGCCAUGCUUGGAGCCCUUGGCUGUGUCUUCCUAGAGAUCCUUUCAAAGAACGGUGUCAAGUUUGGGGAGACAGUGUGGUUUAAGGCUGGUUCCCAAAUCUUCUCUGAGGGGGGGCUUGAUUAUCUUGGCAACCCAAAUUUGAUUCACGCAUAGAGCAUUUUGGCUAUUUGGGCUGUUCAGGUUGUCCUCACGGGUUUCAUUGAAGGCUAUAGGGUUGGAGGAGGACCACUUGGUGAAGGACUCGACCAAAUCUAUCCUGGCGGUGCCUUUGACCCCCUUGGGUUGGCUGAUGAUCCCGAGGCAUUUGCAGAGUUGAAGGUGAAGGAACUUAAGAACGGUCAUCUGGCAAUGUUCUCCAUGUUUGGUUUCUUUGUUCAGGCUAUUGUCAUCGGAAAGGGCCUAAUUGAGAACCUCUUUGACCAUGUUACUAAUCCGGUGGCCAGCAAUGCAUGGGCUUAUGCCACAAACUUUGUCCCUGGAAAAUGAGCAAGCCUCACUAAAUAGAUACACUUCUCCUCAAAUGUAACACUUUGGCUUUGUACGUUGAAGUUGUCUGCUGUUCCUCCGUAGCGAUGUAACGCUACUAGUAGAAACUGCUCUCUACAGAUUGUUGUAUUGUUGAAGUUCUCAAUGAAAGUUAAGACGCUCUAGCUAUUUGGCCUGAA
RNA transcript from Carya illinoinensis, 1687 nucleotides. RefSeq lists it as uncharacterized. Lineage: Eukaryota; Viridiplantae; Streptophyta; Magnoliopsida; Fagales; Juglandaceae. The record is from RefSeq and is a predicted model, not a curated record. The transcript has 5 exons.